Molecule: ribosomal RNA, 492 nt
Filed under: uncultured bacterium
Lineage: Bacteria
Description: partial 16S ribosomal RNA
Rfam family: Bacterial small subunit ribosomal RNA
Source: RNAcentral
AUUGAACGCUGGCGGCAUGCUUUACACAUGCAAGUCGAACGGUAACAGGCCUUCGGGUGCUGACGAGUGGCGAACGGGUGAGUAAUACAUCGGAACGUACCCCGAGGUGGUGGAUAACGCAGCGAAAGCUGUGCUAAUACCGCAUGUGAUCUGAGGAUGUAAGCGGGAGACCGCGCAGCAAUGUUUGGCCUCGCCUCUUUGGAGCGGCUGGUGUCGGAUUAGCUAGUUGGUGUGGUAAAGGCCUACCAAGGCGACGAUCCGUAGCUGAUCUGACAGGAUGAUCAGCCACACUGGGACUGAGACACGGCCCAGACUCCUACGGGAGGCAGCAGUAGGGAAUCUUGGACAAUGGGCGAAAGCCUGAUGGAGCAAUGCCGCGUGCGGGAAGAAGGCCUUCGGGUCGUAAACCGCUGUUAGCAGGGACGAAAAAGUGUCUGCGUAUAGAGGGCGCUCAUGACGGUACCUGCAGAAUAAGCCCCGGCUAACUACGUG